Molecule: transfer RNA, 88 nt
Filed under: Candidatus Sumerlaeota bacterium
Lineage: Bacteria; Candidatus Sumerlaeota
Description: tRNA-Ser
Rfam family: tRNA
About the family: Transfer RNA (tRNA) molecules are approximately 80 nucleotides in length. Their secondary structure includes four short double-helical elements and three loops (D, anti-codon, and T loops).
Source: RNAcentral
GGAGAGGUGCCCGAGUGGCUGAAGGCGCACGCCUGGAGAGCGUGUGUGCGCUCCACGCACCGUGGGUUCGAAUCCACCCUCUCCGCCA